GCGACAGCUUGUCCAACCAAUGCUGGCCGGCAGGAGAAGAUUGCGCGAAAUGAAGCUGUAGGCAGUUUCUGACUUGCUUCGCUCGUAACAAGGACCUUGAUGCAGAAAGAUCAGCUACUUACCUUUUCUAUUCGAUCUACUCAAUCCUAGCAAGCUAAAUGCUGGUCCAGAUAUGCUUUGAAUGAGAUCACCUCAAUAUCACCUACCAAACGCCGAGCCCCAUCGUCAAGGACAGCUGGUGCACAGGAACACCUCCACCUGAACACCAUCAUGUCUUGGAAGUACGGUUUCGUUAUCGGCAUUGGGAGUCCCUCCUCGAACUUUUGCCCUACAUGCACAAUCGGAGCACAUUCACCAGAAACACUGUAGCAGUUUACAAAAGAAGCACAGUAUCACCUUCUCAAGGUGAGUUGGGAUGGGCAACAAAUGCUGGCUUUUCCAGUAAUGCUUAAAUCCUGAAAAAUGAAAAAAAUUAAAAUAUAUACAUUUUCAGGCAGGUUAAGAAUGUUAAAAAUCUGCCUUAUUCCUGAAUUAUGCCAGUAUUCACACACAUAUCUAGCCAGUAUCAUUGGAACUUGACUGGAAGUCCAUCUGAUUUAAUUACCCUUUUGUCUAUGGACAUUGAGUGAGCUAUCCUCAUCCUAAUGCCAAACCAGCUGAGAUCUGAUAGGUAAUUAAAUCUGAGGCCUUCUCAUCUGUAAUGCUCAGUAACAUGUUUGCAUUACCGAAUGAUACGUAGUUAAGUACAUUUGGGUCAACAGAAUGAUAUUCUGUGGUUGGAUGCUUCCUUUUAGAACUGCUAUUGACAAGAUGUCAGAGGCUUGAAGGUCAGUGAAAGAGAUCUUCUUCCUUAAUUUCACUAUUCUGUACUACACAAUAAUGACAGCAUAUUGCUCCACCAGUUCGUUGCAGACUGCUAAAUCUAAUGAACUUGAAAUUCAAAUAAUGAUAAGGGAAAUGACUCCAUUCCACCCCCACUAACUUACACAUGAACAAAUAAUCUGUAAUUUCUGUGCAAAUGUCUUAGUAUAUAUAUCUUGCAGAAUAUCUAGUAAUUUUAUGUUUUACACUGCACCACUGCCGCAAAAAAAUCAUGGCAUAUGUGAGUGAUGAUAAACCUGAUUCUCUUAUGGGCUAU
Hypanus sabinus (Atlantic stingray) is the source of this 1138-nucleotide long non-coding RNA. RefSeq lists it as uncharacterized. Lineage: Eukaryota; Metazoa; Chordata; Chondrichthyes; Myliobatiformes; Dasyatidae. The record is from RefSeq and is a predicted model, not a curated record. The transcript is spliced from 3 exons.